GAUGAACGCUAGCGAUAGGCCUAACACAUGCAAGUCGAGGGGCAGCAUGAUUGUAGCAAUACAAUUGAUGGCGACCGGCGCACGGGUGAGUAACACGUAUGCAAUCUACCUACAACAGGGGAAUAACCCGGAGAAAUUCGGACUCAUACCGCAUAACACAGGGAUUCCGCAUGGAAAUAUUUGUUAAAGAUUUAUCGGUUGUAGAUGGGCAUGCGUUCCAUUAGCCGGUUGGUGAGGUAACGGCUCACUAAAGCAACGAUGGAUAGGGGAACUGUUAUGUCUAUCCCCACCACUGGAACGGCGACGCGGUCCAGACUCCUACGGGAUGCGGCAGUGAGGAAUAUUGGUCAAUGGUCGCGAGCCUGAGCCAGCCACAUCGCGUGAAGGACGAGUGCCCUAUGGGUUGUAAACUUCUUUUAGAAGGGAAUAAAAAGGGAAACGUGUGCCCCAGUGCAGGUACCAUACGAAUAAGCAUCGGCUAACUCCGUGCCAGCAGCCGCCGUAA
Molecule: ribosomal RNA, 505 nt
Filed under: uncultured bacterium
Lineage: Bacteria
Description: partial 16S ribosomal RNA
Rfam family: Bacterial small subunit ribosomal RNA
Source: RNAcentral